UACGUAGGGGGCGAGCGUUGUCCGGAUUUAUUGGGCGUAAAGGGCGUGUAGGCGGUCCUUUAAGUCAGGGGUGAAACCCCGGGGCUCAACCCCGGGCCUGCCUCUGAAACUGAGGGACUUGAGUGCUCUAGAGGGCAGUGGAAUUCCCGGUGUAGCAGUGAAAUGCGUAGAGAUCGGGAGGAACACCAGUGGCGAAGGCGACUGCCUGGGGGGCAACUGACGCUGAGGCGCGAAAGCUGGGGGAGCAAAC
This 250-nucleotide ribosomal RNA is filed under the name uncultured bacterium. RNAcentral's name for it is "partial 16S ribosomal RNA". It matches the Rfam family "Bacterial small subunit ribosomal RNA", at positions 524 to 773 of the family's 1533-position model. The record is from RNAcentral.